This is an RNA transcript of Myxocyprinus asiaticus (Chinese sucker), 3038 nucleotides long. It is a transcript of the gene named butyrophilin subfamily 1 member A1-like, with no coding region annotated. The record is from RefSeq and is a predicted model, not a curated record. The transcript is spliced from 8 exons. NCBI's taxonomy places the organism in Eukaryota, Metazoa, Chordata, Actinopteri, Cypriniformes, Catostomidae.
CUGCAGCACUCCACAGGGAUAGCAACUGAAGCUUUGUGUGAGGGUGAUGUUCCUGUUUUGAGCAUCUGGACUCAUGAAGUACAGAUGAAGACAUGAAGGGAUCAGUCUGCUCUCUAUUGGUGCUUGUCAUAACCUCAGUGUUGCUAACCGCAUCACCUGGUGACAGCAGCACAGAGGCUCCAGUGAGGAACUUCAACGCUGUUUUGGGUCAGAGCGUGACAUUACGAUGUCCAGGAAACCUCAGCGUCCACAUUUUUCGUUUGUACUUACAGAUGCAGAGAGGCCAAACAGAUUAUUUCAUCAAUGGGUUUGAUACAGCCAGAUCGCUACCUGUGACUGAGUACAUGAACAGAACUGAAGUGAACCAAACGGACCUCAGUGUGACGAUGAGCAACAUCACAGUUUCAGAUGAAGGACAGUAUAAGUGCAUCGUUUUUUACACAGAAAUGCCUAAUGAAGAGCAUGUCAUCAACCUCAAAGUUACAGCCAUGUACAGCGUUCCCACUCUGAUGGCAGAGUGCAUCCACGUCAACGGCCCUGCGACUGGUGGGAAGAGCUGUCAGUUAAGCUGCUCCUCUACUGGCGGUUAUCCUUGGAGUGAGGUAGAAUGGCCGGGGCUUCAUCCGAGUGAAUCUGACAACGAGACAGAAAGUUUUCAAGAUCCACACUCCAAAACAUGGACCAUCAACCAAACCGUCACGUACUACUGUGACCAUCCCACCAAUGUUAGCUGUUCCAUAGGACGCACUGUUUCCCACACAAUUACCAUAUGUGAAGCGGAUUCAUUUCCUCUUCGGGUGAAUAUUGCGAUUGCUUUCGUAGUAACUUUUGUCCUGUUUUUAGUUCUUGUUCUUGUAUUAAUGAAGUGUCACUGUAGAAGACCACGUCCCAACCCAGCUGCAGUUUCGCAGUGAUAUGUCCAGCAGGGGGCGCCAAAGGCGAGUGAAAUGGUGUCGUAAUCAGACAAGGUUUUUAAGGUGAAUAUUAGACUGAGAUUUUAAAGAGUAAAAUGUACUUCCCUAAUAAUGUGAAAAAUAAGUGUUUAUUAAGUCAUAAUCAGCCGUUGUACUCGUGAUUUGUGUGAAAGUGAAUAAAACACAGUUGUCGUAGCGCCCCUAGUGUUCAAUUCACCAGGAAACUGCGCCGAAACGUAAAACGUGGCACGUAAAAGUCAGUUUGCAAAAAUGUAGUUAUAGUAAUGUUCAUUCUAUGAGACUAGGUUGCUAUAUUUAGCUUUGUUCACCAUUGAUUGAAUCACCAUUGAUGUUAUAAACUGAAUUAAUUCCAACCGUAAUUCAACUGUAGAUGCCAUAAUUUAUCUCUCUCUCUCUUUACAGAGGAUCCUGCGCUUGGAGUUCCAUUAGCGUAGCGACUGCCAUUCGCAGCCUCAGAAGAGCUGAGCCGUGACAACUAAAUGUUGAAAAGAAGUUGAAUAUAUUUCCCACCAUUCUGCCAAUGCGGAGGUGCCUACAACACCACCCAGAGCCAAAGAGGGGCAUGUUGUACCCGCAGCGAGGAGGCAGUUUGUGCGACUUUAAAACUGGCCCAUUACCAGCCAUGAUGGACACUUGCAGAGAACAAUGAUGGACAUGUUAAUGCAAACGUGAACAACUAAAAGUUAACUAGUGAAAGUCCCUUCCUUUUCAUAAUAAUUUAUUUGGCAGAGUAGGGUUUUUUUUCUCUGCAUACUGAAGUUACAUGCUGUUAUGCUACAAUAUGUUGGAUGUGAUAAAAUUAGACUUGUGUGGGGGGGAUUUUCUCCCUUUUUCUCCCCAAUCUGGAAUGGCCAAUUCCCAAUGCGCUCUAAGUCCUCGUGGUGGUGUAGUGACUCGCCUCAGUCCGGGUGGCGGAGGACGAAUCUCAGUUGCCUCCGUGUCUGAGACCGUCAACCCGCGCAUCUUAUCACGUGGGUUGUUGAGCACAUUACCGCGGAGACUUAGUGCGUGUGGAGGCUUCCCGCUAUUCUCUGCAGCAUCUACGCACAACUCGCCACGCACCCCACCGAGAGCGAACCACAUUAUAGCGACCACGAGUAGGUUACCCCAUGUGACUCUACCCUCCCUAGCAACUGGGCCAAUUUGGUUGCUUAGGAAGUCUGACUGGAGUUACUCAAAGAGCAAAUUUUUAAUUUAUUGAACUUAUCCAGAUUAGUUCAAACUCUAAAUGUUACUCUAUACGUCUGCUCCACAGUAUACAGUAUAUAUAGUCCGUAUGUGUCAAAUCGUGCCACUUUAUUCCAAGGAAUGGGAAUGUAAACGCUGAAACCCUUUCCAAAUGGUUAACUAAGGUGAAUGUUCAAAUUCAGGGUAGGUUGUUACAUUUAUUAAAAUAACCAACACCAUUUUGAUAACUGUUUUUUUUUGUUAACUUCAGAAUAUCAUGUUGGAAUAUUGAAUGUUACCCUGUUCAUUUUAAAGGGACAUUUCAUUUGCUUCUAGAAGCCAAUUAAUUGUGUCUUUAUUAAAGCUUUAUUUUUAAAAGCUCGUUCUUAUUUGAAGCGCAAAAACUGUAUUCCAAAGAAUUAGAAAUUGCGUUAUUACAUUUUUUGUGGUUUAUUGGCUAUGGCUUUUUAAAGAUCUUGUUUUCUUUUUAGUAACAGUCUCAUUGCUGUAUAAUAAAGAAAACCGCAAAGCUGUGAUGUAUACAUCAGUCUGUUUAUGUGUACAGUAUUGACUUUUUCACUUUUCUUAAACCGUCACAAACUACUGACAUUUAUGCAAACAACUGUCUGUCUGUUUUGUCUACAAUGUUUUGGGGUAUAAUUGUUCUCAGUGUGAGAAUUAUGGGAUAUUUAAUUUUCCUCAUGGAAAUGUCUAAUGCACUUUGCUUUCUAACUGCUUGAAAAUGUCCCUAUGGUUUACGCUGUAAUUUAUGAAUAACUUAUUUCUUUGUUUUCACAUAAAGAAUAUAAAAUGUUUUGUGAUGUGUUUCCAUUAUUAGUGGGUACAAAAGUCUUGAAACCGGAUUGAAAAGAUUUUGAAACAUUCAUACCGGGAAAUAAACACAUUUAAAACAAAUAAAAGUAAACUUUAAGACUG